ACGCUGGCGGCAGGCCUAACACAUGCAAGUCGAGCGGAAACGACACUAACAAUCCUUCGGGUGCGUUAAUGGGCGUCGAGCGGCGGACGGGUGAGUAAUGCCUAGGAAAUUGCCUUGAUGUGGGGGAUAACCAUUGGAAACGAUGGCUAAUACCGCAUAAUGCCUACGGGCCAAAGAGGGGGACCUUCGGGCCUCUCGCGUCAAGAUAUGCCUAGGUGGGAUUAGCUAGUUGGUGAGGUAAUGGCUCACCAAGGCGACGAUCCCUAGCUGGUCUGAGAGGAUGAUCAGCCACACUGGAACUGAGACACGGUCCAGACUCCUACGGGAGGCAGCAGUGGGGAAUAUUGCACAAUGGGCGCAAGCCUGAUGCAGCCAUGCCGCGUGUAUGAAGAAGGCCUUCGGGUUGUAAAGUACUUUCAGUUGUGAGGAAGGGGGUAGUGUUAAUAGCRCUAUCUCUUGACGUUAGCAACAGAAGAAGCACCGGCUAACUCCGUGCCAGCAGCCGCGGUAAUACGGAGGGUGCGAGCGUUAAUCGGAAUUACUGGGCGUAAAGCGCAUGCAGGUGGUUCAUUAAGUCAGAUGUGAAAGCCCGGGGCUCAACCUCGGAACUGCAUUUGAAACUGGUGAACUAGAGUACUGUAGAGGGGGGUAGAAUUUCAGGUGUAGCGGUGAAAUGCGUAGAGAUCUGAAGGAAUACCAGUGGCGAAGGCGGCCCCCUGGACA
RNAcentral lists this ribosomal RNA (723 nucleotides) under Vibrio sp. 14E10. RNAcentral describes it as "bacterial SSU rRNA". It matches the Rfam family "Bacterial small subunit ribosomal RNA", at positions 33 to 735 of the family's 1533-position model. The record is from RNAcentral. Lineage: Bacteria; Pseudomonadati; Pseudomonadota; Gammaproteobacteria; Vibrionales; Vibrionaceae.